GAGGGGGGACAAUUUUUGGAAAUUUGUCCUUACGGGUAGUACUAGAAUACUUGUCCACAUGACGAUUUGAAAUAACCGAAGGACAUAUGAGGAAAAAAUAAAAUUAAACUC
Molecule: non-coding RNA, 111 nt
Organism: Arabidopsis thaliana (thale cress)
Lineage: Eukaryota; Viridiplantae; Streptophyta; Magnoliopsida; Brassicales; Brassicaceae
Source: RefSeq